This 772-nucleotide unclassified non-coding RNA is filed under the name Hevea brasiliensis (rubber tree). The record is from RNAcentral. Lineage: Eukaryota; Viridiplantae; Streptophyta; Magnoliopsida; Malpighiales; Euphorbiaceae.
UUCUUUUCCAGAUAUCAAAACCUACAAGUAAAAAUAUGAAAAUCACUACAGGCCAACCAGGGAGUACAAUUGUUACUCAACAAAAAAGAAAAUUGCAACAGAAAUUAAUUGAUCUAGCUCAGUUACUACCUGAAGGCAUGAAAUCAUUGCAAUCAGUCAUACAAAAAAACAGGAACACAAGGAUAAUAAUUAGUUGAAAGACUUCCAUGAUAAGACUUCACCAUACUCAACCAUAAUAAGAUUGCAUGGAUGUUUCGAAACCCACUCCAGUCAUUGAACCACAGAAAGGACCAUGUUAUGCUUAACACAGCAUAAGUGGUAAGCAAAGAAGUGAAAGGACUAGUUUCACUCAUAACAGAGCAGCUUAUAGAUUGAGAUUUGAAAUCUGUUGGACCUUGUGAAAUUACAAAAUCACAGGAGAGUGACUUGGUCAAGAUGAAAGAGAAUUUGUCAUACAAGUCCUCUCUGGUUCAUACAGAAUUUAAUUGGACACUAGAAACACUUAAUAAAUCAUGAAAAGAUAAGCAUUCACACUUCAAUAAGUAUAAGAAAACCUCCUAUAGUGCAUCUUUACUGAUACUAAAGAGUGCCCUCAUGAAUUCAUAUAAGUAUCUCUUAAUAUAUAUGCAAACAACAGCUAGAGCGCAUAUCAAGAACUAGACUGUAAAAAAUAACAACUUUGUCCCAUUUAGGCUAAGCUGACAAACAAGACUCCAGUUCCACUAAUAAAAGAGCAGCUUAUAGGUUGAGAGUUUGAAACUGAUGUAUUCUG